Molecule: ribosomal RNA, 241 nt
Filed under: uncultured Staphylococcus sp.
Lineage: Bacteria; Bacillati; Bacillota; Bacilli; Caryophanales; Staphylococcaceae
Description: partial 16S ribosomal RNA
Rfam family: Bacterial small subunit ribosomal RNA
Source: RNAcentral
CGGACGGGUGAGUGACACGCGGAUAACCUACCUAUAAGACUGGGAUAACUUCGGGAAACCGGAGCUAAUACCGGAUAAUAUAUUGAACCGCAUGGUUCAAUAGCGAAAGACGGUUUUGCUGUCACUUAUAGAUGGAUCCGCGCCGCAUUAGCUAGUUGGUAAGGUAACGGCUUACCAAGGCAACGAUGCGUAGCCGACCUGAGAGGGUGAUCGGCCACACUGGAACUGAGACACGGUCCAG